Molecule: ribosomal RNA, 531 nt
Filed under: Vibrio pomeroyi
Lineage: Bacteria; Pseudomonadati; Pseudomonadota; Gammaproteobacteria; Vibrionales; Vibrionaceae
Description: bacterial SSU rRNA
Rfam family: Bacterial small subunit ribosomal RNA
Source: RNAcentral
GAUGUGGGGGAUAACCAUUGGAAACGAUGGCUAAUACCGCAUAAUGCCUACGGGCCAAAGAGGGGGACCUUCGGGCCUCUCGCGUCAAGAUAUGCCUAGGUGGGAUUAGCUAGUUGGUGAGGUAAUGGCUCACCAAGGCGACGAUCCCUAGCUGGUCUGAGAGGAUGAUCAGCCACACUGGAACUGAGACACGGUCCAGACUCCUACGGGAGGCAGCAGUGGGGAAUAUUGCACAAUGGGCGAAAGCCUGAUGCAGCCAUGCCGCGUGUAUGAAGAAGGCCUUCGGGUUGUAAAGUACUUUCAGUUGUGAGGAAGGGGGUGUCGUUAAUAGCGGCAUCUCUUGACGUUAGCAACAGAAGAAGCACCGGCUAACUCCGUGCCAGCAGCCGCGGUAAUACGGAGGGUGCGAGCGUUAAUCGGAAUUACUGGGCGUAAAGCGCAUGCAGGUGGUUCAUUAAGUCAGAUGUGAAAGCCCGGGGCUCAACCUCGGAACUGCAUUUGAAACUGGUGAACUAGAGUACUGUAGAGGGG